Molecule: non-coding RNA, 30 nt
Filed under: Mus musculus (house mouse)
Lineage: Eukaryota; Metazoa; Chordata; Mammalia; Rodentia; Muridae
Source: RNAcentral
UACUGUUCUCUCUUAGGUGACUACUAUAAA